UACGUAGGGUGCAAGCGUUGUCCGGAAUUAUUGGGCGUAAAGAGCUCGUAGGCGGUUUGUUGCGUCGGCUGUGAAAUCCCGAGGCCCAACCUCGGGUCUGCAGUCGAUACGAGCAAACUAGAGUGUUGCAGGGGAGACUGGAAUUCCUGGUGUAGCGGUGAAAUGCGCAGAUAUCAGGAGGAACACCGGUGGCGAAGGCGGGUCUCUGGGCCGAUACUGACGCUGAGGAGCGAAAGCGUGGGGAGCAAACAGG
This 253-nucleotide ribosomal RNA is filed under the name uncultured bacterium. Its description in RNAcentral is "partial 16S ribosomal RNA". It matches the Rfam family "Bacterial small subunit ribosomal RNA", at positions 524 to 776 of the family's 1533-position model. The record is from RNAcentral.